RNAcentral lists this long non-coding RNA (804 nucleotides) under Ananas comosus (pineapple). Its description in RNAcentral is "long non-coding RNA (ACOM_LNC021815)". Lineage: Eukaryota; Viridiplantae; Streptophyta; Magnoliopsida; Poales; Bromeliaceae. The record is from RNAcentral.
AAGCUAAAAAAAAAUAAUUUUACCUAUGUAUAUUGCAGAGUAGGAAUAACAUUAGGGCCCGUUUGGUUCGAGUUAUGUAAUAUUGCAAAGUAUCUCGAUAUAUCUAGGUAUUUUGAAUUUCGGCAUGAGAUUUCUACUGAUGCUGUAUUAGAGCGUUUGGUUUAAUACAGUAAUGUAAUACUAAAUUACAGUAUUUAUAGCAUUAAUAUGUUUGGUUCAGUUUAUAAAAUUUAGUAAUCAUGAUAUAAAAGUAUAGUUUUUUUCAAAAUUGCCUUUGUUGUGGUCAUUUGAAUAUUAUUUUUGCAGAAAUGACGAAUGGAAGGAAGGAGAUCAUGAUGAUUAUUUGGGAGGACGACGCAAUAGAAGAUGAUAGGUGUUCGUGCGUGCGCACGCGCGAGAGAGAGAGAGAGAGAGAGAGAGAGACGUCGAGAGAGAGAGAGCGAGAGAAAGCGGCAUGCGAGAGAGAGGGCCGGGGAAGGCGAGAGAGAUGAAAAUAAUGCUGUUAAUUUGAUUUGGGGUUGUUGGACGGUAAAAUUAUCAUUUUACAUAAUAUGUAGUAUUAACGGGUUUCAGUAAUGCAAUAUACACGACCUCCCUCCCGUUAAUAUUUUUUAAUAUUUUUUAUGUAAUCCUGCUCGAUUUGUAAUGCUACAUUCAUGACUAGAUUAUAUAGCGGAUUAACCAAACAUAGUUAUCCUGGCAGGAUUGCCUGUAAUCUUGCCAGGAUAACUCGAACCAAACGCACCCUUAGUGCAUUUAAUUAAGUUAGAUUUAUCUAUUAAAUUUAAUUAAAUUUAAAAAAAA